This 394-nucleotide ribosomal RNA is filed under the name Escherichia coli. RNAcentral's name for it is "partial 23S ribosomal RNA". It matches the Rfam family "Bacterial large subunit ribosomal RNA", at positions 2247 to 2640 of the family's 2925-position model. Lineage: Bacteria; Pseudomonadati; Pseudomonadota; Gammaproteobacteria; Enterobacterales; Enterobacteriaceae. The record is from RNAcentral.
GCGGACAGUGUCUGGUGGGUAGUUUGACUGGGGCGGUCUCCUCCUAAAGAGUAACGGAGGAGCACGAAGGUUGGCUAAUCCUGGUCGGACAUCAGGAGGUUAGUGCAAUGGCAUAAGCCAGCUUGACUGCGAGCGUGACGGCGCGAGCAGGUGCGAAAGCAGGUCAUAGUGAUCCGGUGGUUCUGAAUGGAAGGGCCAUCGCUCAACGGAUAAAAGGUACUCCGGGGAUAACAGGCUGAUACCGCCCAAGAGUUCAUAUCGACGGCGGUGUUUGGCACCUCGAUGUCGGCUCAUCACAUCCUGGGGCUGAAGUAGGUCCCAAGGGUAUGGCUGUUCGCCAUUUAAAGUGGUACGCGAGCUGGGUUUAGAACGUCGUGAGACAGUUCGGUCCCUA